GAUGAGGUGGCCAAGGGGUUAAGGUGGUGGAUUGCUAAUCCAUUGUGCUCUGCACGUAUGGGUUUGAAUCUCAUCCUCGUUG
RNAcentral lists this transfer RNA (82 nucleotides) under Colius striatus (speckled mousebird). It matches the Rfam family "tRNA". From Rfam's summary of the family: Transfer RNA (tRNA) molecules are approximately 80 nucleotides in length. The record is from Rfam by way of RNAcentral. Lineage: Eukaryota; Metazoa; Chordata; Aves; Coliiformes; Coliidae.